GACGAACGCUGGCGGCGUGCUUAACACAUGCAAGUCGAACGGCAAGGCCCUGCUUUUGUGGGGUGCUCGAGUGGCGAACGGGUGAGUAACACGUGAGUAACCUGCCCUUGACUUUGGGAUAACUUCAGGAAACUGGGGCUAAUACCGGAUAGGAGAUCCUGCUGCAUGGUGGGGGUGGGAAAGUUUCGGCGGUUGGGGAUGGACUCGCGGCUUAUCAGCUUGGUGGUGGGGUAGUGGCUUACCAAGGCUUUGAAGGGUAGCCGGCCUGCGAGGGUGACCGGCCACAUUGGGACUGAGAUACGGCCCAGACUCCUACGGGAGGCAGCAGUGGGGAAUAUUGCACAAUGGGCGGAAGCCUGAUGCAGCAACGCCGCGUGGGGGAUGACGGCCUUCGGGUUGUAAACCGCUUUCGCCUGUGACGAAGCGUGAGUGACGGUAAUGGGUAAAGAAGCACCGGCUAACUACGUG
RNAcentral lists this ribosomal RNA (468 nucleotides) under uncultured bacterium. Its description in RNAcentral is "partial 16S ribosomal RNA". It matches the Rfam family "Bacterial small subunit ribosomal RNA", at positions 28 to 507 of the family's 1533-position model. The record is from RNAcentral.